Non-coding RNA from Paralichthys olivaceus (Japanese flounder), 436 nucleotides. Lineage: Eukaryota; Metazoa; Chordata; Actinopteri; Pleuronectiformes; Paralichthyidae. The record is from RefSeq and is a predicted model, not a curated record.
GGAAAAAGGGCAAACUGCUGAUAAUAAAACCUUUUCAGGUUUGUGGGUCUGGCUUUCAAAAUAAUAGAAUCUUCUUUAGAUUUGUGCAGAGGACGCUGUUAUUGUGAAAGACUUGUACCGGAUAUGUCACUGUUGUCACUGUCGGGGCUGGAGAGUCAGCUGACCAGAAAACAGAGUCAGGUCGUGAAAUGGAUUUAAAUGUCAGUGUAAGUCUUCACGAAAGGACAGAAACAACACACAGCUUCCCCCCGACACACAGCGUCACAGGAUCUUAACAUCUGGACUGAUCUCUACCAGCUACAGUUUGGAAAUAUUUCCAGACUAUGGCUUCAGAUCAACAACAGUCUGGUCUGGACAAGCACAAGUAAAAGUAAGAAUAAUCCAAACCCUGUGUUUUGCAAAAGUAGUGCUCAGCGAAAUAGCCAAAGAUUAUUAC